Moschus moschiferus (Siberian musk deer) is the source of this 185-nucleotide small nuclear RNA. Its record names the gene U4. It matches the Rfam family "U4 spliceosomal RNA". Rfam says of the family: U4 small nuclear RNA (U4 snRNA) is a component of the major U2-dependent spliceosome. The structure of U4 snRNA from yeast and human has been reported. U4 snRNA presents a k-turn RNA motif in the 5p-SL related to recognition of Snu13 protein. The record is from Ensembl. Lineage: Eukaryota; Metazoa; Chordata; Mammalia; Artiodactyla; Moschidae.
AGCUUUGCGCAGCGGCAGUAUUGUAGCCAAUGACAUUUAUCUGAGGCACGACUAUUGCUAAUUGAAACUAACUGUAGUAAAAAUGCUUAGUAGCAGCCUAGUGACCAGAAAGAAUACGUAUCACUUUACUAUAUUUAGAAUCAGAAUUUUAUUGCUGAAAGGGAUAUUAGAUAUCACUUAAUCUG